Molecule: non-coding RNA, 25 nt
Filed under: Mus musculus (house mouse)
Lineage: Eukaryota; Metazoa; Chordata; Mammalia; Rodentia; Muridae
Source: RNAcentral
UGUAGAUUGUUGUUGGCAAGAUGGC